This 497-nucleotide ribosomal RNA is filed under the name uncultured bacterium. RNAcentral's name for it is "partial 16S ribosomal RNA". It matches the Rfam family "Bacterial small subunit ribosomal RNA", at positions 28 to 507 of the family's 1533-position model. The record is from RNAcentral.
GAUGAACGCUGGCGGCGUGCCUAAUACAUGCAAGUCGAGCGAACGGACGAGAAGCUUGCUUCUCUGAUGUUAGCGGCGGACGGGUGAGUAACACGUGGAUAACCUACCUAUAAGACUGGGAUAACUUCGGGAAACCGGAGCUAAUACCGGAUAAUAUUUUGAACCGCAUGGUUCAAAAGUAAAAGACGGUCUUGCUGUCACUUAUAGAUGGAUCCGCGCUGCAUUAGCUAGUUGGUAAGGUAACGGCUUACCAAGGCAACGAUGCAUAGCCGACCUGAGAGGGUGAUCGGCCACCCUGGAACUGAGACACCGUCCAGACUCCUGCGGGAGGCCGCAGUCGGGAAUCUUACGCAAUGGGCGGAAGCCUGACGGAGCAACGCCGCGUGAGUGAUGAAGGUCUUCCGAUCGUAAAACUCUGUUAUUAGGGAAGAACAUAUGUGUAAGUAACUGUGCACAUCUUGACGGUACCUAAUCAGAAAGCCACGGCUAACUACGUG